Molecule: ribosomal RNA, 445 nt
Filed under: Diogenes takedai
Lineage: Eukaryota; Metazoa; Arthropoda; Malacostraca; Decapoda; Diogenidae
Description: partial large subunit ribosomal RNA
Source: RNAcentral
UAAAUUCAAUUUAAAUUAAAAAUAAAACUAAUUUUUAAAAAAAGAGAAUUAGGGUAAAUCUUAAUUUUCAAAAAUGAACAUUUUAUAGAAUUAUUUUAAUAUUUAUUAUAUUUAAAUAAGCUUUAAUAGUAGCUAAUUUAUUAAAGUGUUUCAACUAAAAAAACUUUUUUAAUUAUUUAUUAAUUCUUAAAAUUAUGUAUUAGAAAACUAGCCCCAGCUUUUCAGGCUAAGUUAUUAUGAAAUUAUUAGUAGAGUUUUAUAUAAAUAUUUUAUUAUAAUUUUAUUGAUAAAAUCUUUUUUUCAAAUAAAUUUUAUUUAAAAAACUCGGCAAAAUAUAUUCUCGCCUGUUUAACAAAAACAUGUCCAAAUGAAAGAAUAUUUGGUCUGACCUGCCCACUGAAAUAAUUGAAUGGCCGCGGUACUUCUGACUGUGCCAAGGUAGCAU